GACGAACGCUGGCGGCGUGCUUAACACAUGCAAGUCGAACGGAAAGGCCCUUGUUUUGUGGGGUGCUCGAGUGGCGAACGGGUGAGUAACACGUGAGUAACCUGCCCUUUACUUUGGGAUAACUUUAGGAAACUGGGUCUAAUACCGGAUAGGAGCUCCUUCUGCAUGGUGUGGGUGGGAGAUUUUCGGCGGUUGGGGAUGGACUCGCGGCUUAUCAGCUUGUUGGUGGGGUAGUGGCUUACCAAGGCUUUGACGGGUAGCCGGCCUGAGAGGGUGACCGGCCACAUUGGGACUGAGAUACGGCCCAGACUCCUACGGGAGGCAGCAGUGGGGAAUAUUGCACAAUGGGCGGAAGCCUGAUGCAGCAACGCCGCGUGCGGGAUGACGGCCUUCGGGUUGUAAACCGCUUUCGCCUGGGACGAAGCGUGAGUGACGGUAAUGGGUAAAGAAGCACCGGCUAACUACGUG
This 468-nucleotide ribosomal RNA is filed under the name uncultured bacterium. RNAcentral's name for it is "partial 16S ribosomal RNA". It matches the Rfam family "Bacterial small subunit ribosomal RNA", at positions 28 to 507 of the family's 1533-position model. The record is from RNAcentral.